Molecule: long non-coding RNA, 285 nt
Organism: Anguilla anguilla (European eel)
Lineage: Eukaryota; Metazoa; Chordata; Actinopteri; Anguilliformes; Anguillidae
Exons: 3
Source: RefSeq, a predicted model, not a curated record
GAUGUCCACUGAUCCAUGCAGCGGUAUGAUGAACAGUGCGGCGAGCGGAAUAAUGCGCGUGCUGUGCAUCAGUGCGCUGCAGGGGAGCUGAACGGGGGAGUGGCCGCGUUCUCAGUCUGAGUGCUGCGGGACCAGCUUGGACUCCUCAGGAGGAAGAGCUGCACGUGGAGGAUGAGGGAUUUGAAGAUGUGGACGACAGGGACCCAACGGCCCAUCAUCGUGCAGCACCAUCAGACCCCCACCAGUCCGGCUUCAGACCUGGCCACUCGACAGAGACUGCACUCC